RNAcentral lists this ribosomal RNA (315 nucleotides) under uncultured eukaryote. Its description in RNAcentral is "partial 18S ribosomal RNA". It matches the Rfam family "Eukaryotic small subunit ribosomal RNA", at positions 1470 to 1796 of the family's 1831-position model. The record is from RNAcentral.
CCCUUAGAUGUUCUGGGCCGCACGCGCGCUACACUGAUCAGUGCAACAAGCAUCCGUCCUUGGCCGACAGGCCCGGGCAAUCUUUGAACGCUGAUCGUGAUGGGGAUAGACUUUUGCAAUUUUUGGUCUUCAACGAGGAAUUCCUAGUAAACGCAAGUCAUCAACUUGCAUUGAUUACGUCCCUGCCCUUUGUACACACCGCCCGUCGCACCUACCGAUUGAAUGGUCCGGUGAAGCCUCCGGAUUGGCGCGCACCUCGGUGCCGCCGAGAAGUUGGCUAAACCUUACCAUUUAGAGGAAGGUGAAGUCGUANCA